GUCCAUCUCUGUCAUCAGGGCAGGAUGGACACUAACUACAUCCACUGUCCAUCUUUGUCACAGGACAGGACAGCCAGGAGACAGGACAGCCAGGAGACAGGACAACCAGGAGACAGGACAGGCAGGAGACAGGACAGCCAGGAGACAGGACAGCCAGGAGACAGGACAACCAGAGACAGGACAGCCAGGAGACAGGACAGCCAGGAGACAGGACAGUCAGGAGACAGGACAGCCAGGAGACAGGACAGCCAGGAGACAGGACAGCCAGGAGACAGGACAGCCAGGAGACAGGACAGUCAGGAGACAGGACAGCCAGGAGAGAGGACAGCCAGGAGACAGGACAGGCAGGAGACAGGACAGGCAGGAGACAGAACAGGCAGGAGACAGGACAGCCAGGAGACAGGACAGCCAGGAGACAGGACAGCCAGGAGACAGGACAGCCAGACCUGCAUAAAUAACAGAGGUUAGGUCCCUAAUUGCUCCAUAUUCCCCAUAUAGUGCACUACUUUUGACCAGGGUCUCCAGGGAAUAGGGUGCCAUUUAGGAUGCAAACGGUGCUAUGCUAAUCAGGCAUCCCACCCGGUGUGGUUGUGAUUUUUUCUUCUGGGGGAUUUGUUUACUGGCGGAUAAUUGAUGGUGCUUGAGGGACAGGCGUGAGUUGGACAUGAAUCACGGGGCGACGCGCCGUGAUAAGGAGCUGAAAGUCGUCCGUAAUUAAGCAGGGCACUAGAGACCAAUUGUUUGCAGAAUGAUUUGGCCGCCGGCUAAUUGACACUAAUUGUUUAAUCUGAUUUUUUCCCCCUCACAACACCGUUAACUAAAAGUCAGGCCACUCUCUUGUGCACUCAUCCACAGCACUGUGCAUUAAUACAGCAGAGGCUCACACAGUGGGGAACCCUAUUCCCUAUAUAAUGCACCUCUUUUGUCAAGUUUCUUGUCAAAAGUAGUGCACUAUAUAGGGAAUAGGGUGCAAUUUGGGACACAAUCACUGUGUUAUGAUGAUAGGUGGUGUUUGGGGGGGGGGGUGAGAUAGAAGGUGGAUCAGAUCAUGAUGUACUGUUCAUUCGGAAAGGAUUCAGACCCCUUGACUUUUUCCACAUUUUGUUAUGUCACAGCUUCAUUCUAUAAUGUAUGAAAUUGUUUUCCCCCUCUCAUCAAUCUACACAUAAUAGCCCAUAAUGACAAAGCAAAAACAGAUAUUUAGAAAUGUUUGCUACUCCCGGGUGGCACAGUGGUUAAGGGCGCUGUACUGCAGCGCCAGCUGUGCCAUCAGAGACUCUGGGUUCGCGCCCAGGCUCUGUCGUAACCGGCCACGACCGGGAGGUCCGUGGGGUGACGCACAAUUGGCCUAGCGUCAUCCGGGUUAGGGAGGGCUUGGCCGGUAGGGAUGUCCUUGUCUCAUCGCGCACCAGUGACUCCAGUGGCGGGCCGGGCGCAGUGCGCGCUAACCAAUGUUGCCAGGUGCACAGUGUUUCCUCCGACACAUUGGUGCGGCUGGCUUCCGGGUUGGAUGUGCGCUGUGUUAAGAAGCAGUGCGGCUUGGUUGGGUCGUGUAUCGGAGGACGCAUGACUUUCAACCUUCGUCUCUCCCGAGCCGCUGCAUGGUUAUUUUCAGGUCUCUCCAGAGAUGUUUGAUGGGUUUCAAUUCCGGGCUCUGGCUGGGCCACUCAAGGACAUUCAGAGACUUGUCACGAAGCCACUCCUGCGUUGUCUUGGCUGUGUGCUUAGGGUUGUUGUCCUGUUGGAAGGUGAACCUUCGCCCCAGUCUGAGGUCCUGAGCGCUCUGAAGCAGGUUUUCAUCAAGGAUCUCUCUGUACUUUGCUUCUUUCAUCUUUCCCUCGAUCCUGACUAGUCUCCCAGUCUCUGCUGCUAAAAAACAUCCCCAAAGCAUGAUGCUGCCACCACCAUGCUUCACCGUAGGGAUGGUGCUAUGUUUCCUCCAGAUGUGAAACUUGGCAUUCAGGCCAAAGAGUUCAAUCUGGGUUUCAUCAGACCAGAAAAUUGUUUCUCAUUGUCUGAGGCCUUUAGGUACCUUUUGGCAAACUUUUGGCAAACUCCAAGCGGGCAGUUUUACUGAGGAGUGCCUUCCAUCUGGCCACUCUACCAUAAAGCUCUGAUUGGUGGAGUGCUGCAGAGAUGGUUGUCCUUCUGGAAGUGUCUUCCAUCUCCACAGAGAAACUCUGGAGCUCUGUCAGAGUGACCAUCGGGUUGUUGGUCACCUCCCUGACCAAGGCCUUUCUCCCCCUAUUGCUCAGUUAGGCUGGGCGACCAGCUCUAAGAAGAGUCUUGGUGGUUCAAAACUUCUUCCAUUUAAGAAUGAUGGAGGCCACUGUGUUCUUGAGGACCUUCAAUGCUGCAGAAAUGUUUUGGUACCCUUCCCUAGAUCUGUGCCUCGACACAAUCCUGUCUCUGUGCUCUACGAACAAUUCCUUCGACCUCAUGGCUUGGUUUUUGUUCUGACAUGUACUGUCAACUGUGGGACCUUAUACAGACAGGUGUGUGCCUUUCCAAAUCAUGUCCAAUCAAUUGAAUGUAGCACAAGUGGACUCCAAUCAGGUUCUAGAAACAUCUCAUGGAUGAAUACUGGAAACAGGAUGCACCUGAGCUCAAUAUUGAGUCUCACUGCAAAGGGUCUGAAUACUUAAGUAAAUGUGAUUUUUCAUUUAUUUGUAAUUUUUUAUUUGCACAAAUUCUAAAAGUCUGUUUUUCCGUUGUCAUUGUGGGGUGUUGUGUAUAUAUUGAUAAGGAUUUUUUUUAUUUAAUCAAUUUUAGAAUAAGGCUGUAACGUAAUAAAAUGUGGAAAAAGUCAAGGGGUCUGAAUAGUUCCCGAAUGCACUGUAUAAUCAUCCCAUUUUCUUAUCUAAAAAAAAAGAUCAGUAAGAAAAGACUGAUCAAAUUAAGAUCCUACAUCUGUAGUUGAUUUAUCGCAUUGAGAGAAGGCUUACAAAUUAACAAUGUUAAUCCCCUCCUCCUCCCCUCCUCCACUAUUUUGUCUGAAUGACAUAUACUGGUUUUUAAUAGCAGCAAUACUUUAUAAUUAAGGGGUCAACAUUACAGUAAAGGAACAUAUUUUAUGGCUCAUUAACCAAAAAUAUUAGGGCGGAGACUAGGCUAUCACAACGGAGACUAGGCUACCACAACGGAGACUAGGCUAUCACAACGGAGACUAGGCUACCACAACGGAGACUAGGCUAUCACAACGGAAACUAGGCUAUCACAACAGAGACUAGGCUAUCACAACGGAGACUAGGCUAUCACAACGGAGACUAGGCUAUCACAACAGAGACUAGGCUAUCACAACGGAGACUAGGCUAUCACAACGGAGACUAGGCUAUCACAACGGAGACUAGGCUAUCACAAUGGAGACUAGGCUAUCACAACGGAGACUAGGCUAUCACAACGGAGACUAGGCUAUCACAACGGAGACUAGGCUAUCACAACGGAGACUAGGCUAUCACAACGGAGACUAGGCUAUCACAACGGAGACUAGGCUAUCACAACGGAGACUAGGCUAUCACAACGGAGACUAGGCUAUGUUGUAAAGGGAUGUUUGCAAUCAUGUCAACUCUACCCAUACAGUAUAUGGGUCAUAGAGAUUCUAUGGUAUACAGUAUUACAGCAUUCUCCUUCUAUCCUAUAAGUGAAUGACAUGAUCUUUAUCGUCUGGGUAGUAAGUACAGAAACCCUCAGGACUGUUGUUUUGAUAAAUACAGGACUUGAAAACACUAAGAAUAUGGGAUUUGACACCUGGUUAUUGAGGAUGAAGGACAAUGGAUAUAUUUCUGAUAUAUUUCAUGCUGUGUCACGAGAGUGGGUAUUGAGAAGACACCUCAUUAUUACAGAGCUAUAGCCUUUAUGUUGCAUUCGUGUGCUUUUGGGAAGUGGGAAACUUGGAAUUGGGAAGUCAUUAGUAUGACUUGAUUGUGUUCAAGUGCUUUUGAAGUCAGACCAAUUCUUCAACCAAUACGAUUUUAGCUAGCUUGAUAAGCUAGCUAACAUUGCUAAUAAUAAAGUUAGCUAGCUUACUUAACAUUGACAAUAUGGUUAAACUAGCUACAUUAUCCACAUUGCUAAGUUUGUUAUUGUCAAAAACAGAUUUUUGUUGAAAAGGUGAAAGAUCAGUAGUGAAAACGUCACAACUCGGCAACUCCAGUAACAACAUUUUCUCAGGGUGUCCCACUUGUAGUUACGACUUUAAAGGUUGAUCAAGUGAAACUUCCCAGUGGAGAACUCCGAACUUCCGUUAACCCCGACAGCAUGUGAACGCCACAUUAGCCAGAAGAACCAGAUUAAUCAUAAUAGUAGCAUAGCCACUUAGUAUAGUCACUUAGCAUCUCUGUUAGCUUGCUAGCCUAAUAUUCUGGAGUAGGCCGAUGAUUGACUUGAUUGACAUACAGUAAGUGAAGGACAUAGGAACAAAAGAGCAACAAACUUAGUUUGAAAACACAUUACAUCAUUAAAAUAGCCAAAUGAUGUAUAUGAAAAAAGCACCAAGCACGUUAUGCUAUGAGCAUCAAUCUUGCACAUUGCCAAUAUCAUUAUGCAGUGUCAGACCAAUGUCUUUACUUUUUACAAGGCUACGAUAACAGAACCAUUUGUUACCUUGUGUUGAGUGUCCAGACGACUCAAUUGACUUAUUUGGGAGUUGUUACUCUUCAUCUGGUUGCUUCUCAACAUUACUGUGUCUCAUGGUAACUGUGUCCCACCCAGGUCAAUACAUCCAUAUCUAUCUGGAGCUCUGACAGUAGGGGAUCAAAGAGAGUGAGUGGCUGGCUGGUUGCUGGUAGGCUGACCAUCCUACAGCGGGAGCCAUUAUUGUUAGACCAAACACUCCUGAACCCCUUGGGGAUAACCCUUCCCUACUCUUUAUUAAAAAUGGUCCGGCACAAAGUGCAUUUGGAAAGUAUCCAGACCCCUUGACUUUUUCCACAUUUGUUACAUUACAGCCUUAUUCAAAAAUGUCUUAAAUAAUGCCAAAGAAAAACACACUUUUAGAAAUUUGAGCAAAUUUUUUUUAAAGUAAAAAAACAGAUACCUUACUUACACAAGUAUUCAGACCCGUUGCUAUGAGAGUCUAAAUUUAGCUCAGGUGGAUCAUGUUUCCAUUGAUCACCCUUGAGAUGUUUCUAAAACUUGAUUGGACAUGAUUUGGAAAGGCACACACCUGUCUAUACAAGGUCCCACAGUUGACAGUGCAUAUCAGAGCAAAAACCAAGCCAUGAGGUUGAAGAAAUUGUCCGUAGAGCUCCGAGACAGGAUUGUGUCUAGGCACAGAUCUGGGGAAGGUUACCAAAACAUUUCUGCAGCAUUGAAGGUCCCCAAGAACAAUCGGGGCCUUGGUCAGGGAGGUGACCAAGAACCCGAUGGUCACACUGACAGAGCUCCAGAGUUCAUCUGUGGAGAUGGGUGAACCUUCCAGAAGGACAAUCUCUGCAGCACUCCACUAAUCAGGCCUUUAUGGUAGAGUGGCCAAACGGAAGCCACUCCUCAGUAAAAGGCACAUGACAGCCCGUUUGGAGUUUGCCAAAACGCACCUAAAGGACUCUCAGACCAUGAAAAACAAGAUUCUCUAGUCUGAUGAAACCAAGAUUGAACUCUUUGGCCAUAAUGCCAAGCGUCACGUCUGGAGGAAACUUGGCACCAUAUGUACGGUGAAGCAUGGUGGUGGCAGCAUCAUGCCGUGGGGAUGUUUUUCAGCAGCAGUGACUGGGAGACUAGUCAGGAUCGAGGGAAAGAUGAACGGAGCAAAGUACAGAGCAGAGCGAUCCUUGAUGAAAACCUCUCCAGAGCGCUCAGGACCUCAGACUGGGGUGAAGGUUCAUCUUCCAAAAGGUUAAUGACCCAGGGCACACAGCCAAGCCAACGCAGGAGUGGCUUCAUGACAAGUCCCUGAAUGUUCUUGAGUGGCCCAGCCAGAACCUGGACCGAUCGAACAUCUCUGGGGAGACCUGAAAAUAGCUGUGCAUCGACGCUCCCCAUCCAACCUGGCAGAGCUUGAAAGUAUCUGCAGACAAGAAUGGGAGAAACUCCCCAAAUACAGGUGUGCCAAGCAUGUAGCAUCAUACACAAGAAGACUUGAGGCUGUAAUCAGUGCCACAGAUACUUCAACAAAGUACUGAGUAAAGGGUCUGAAUACUUAUAUAAACGUGAUACUUCCAUUUUUUGUUUGUAAUAUAUUUGCAAAAUGUCUAAAAAACAGUUUUUGCUUUGUCAUUAUGGGGUAUUGUGUGCUGGUAAGGAUUUUUAUUUAAUUUAAUCCAUUUUAGAAUAAGGAUGUAACAUAACAAAAUGUGUAAAAAUUCAAGGUGUCUGAAUACUUUCCGAAUGCACUCUAUACUUGUCCAAACCAUUAUAACUUCCAAACUCAUAUACAUCCUAAUAAAACUACUCAAACACAUAUCCUGAUGAACAAUACCUCACUGGCAAACAAACCAAGAUUCCCAAUAUGCAAAACGUGGCUGCUAAACUCCCAUCCAAUGUCUACUACCUACGAUGUGUUUGUUGGUGUCAACUUAAAUAAUUUCUUUAGCUCUGCAAAUAUGAAUAUUGGCAAGUCUUAGUCGAUGGUAGAAAAGUGGUGUGUUGUGUCUCGGCGUGAGAUGAGAUGAUGAAGUAGAACUGAUCAUUCCACAUAAAGGGGGAGAAGACUUCCCUCUCUAUUUGAUUAAACCAAGUCUCAAUAACCAGAGCCAUGAUAGAUGGGAUCCUCACAAAGGAACAUUAGAUCCAACAUGAUUACAUUUAACGCCAAUUCACUUUGCAGCUUUUUUAAUUAACACAAACUAUGAUGAGAUAUUAAUGAUUAUUAGAGGGGGGGGCAGCAAAGGGAUGACACCCCCCCUCCCCCUAUACCCCACCACCCCCCAUACAGGACAAAGAGAGCGUGUGCAAAUCCAAACAUACAGAAUUUAAUAGUGUCAUAUUUAGUGAGAGUUCUCUAUGACAACUUCAAAUGGCCACCUUUAAUGUAAUUAUCCAUCUCCAUGACUUCAAAGCCUAUACUGUGAACAUGAAUAACUGUUGUUUUCCCUCAACUCAUAGCUGUUGGGGAUCAAUCAGACGAGAGCCACUCAUGUGCAUCCAGUCAUCUGUUUAGGUCCAAUCCGCUGAGAGAAUGAUUAGCAACUUAAAGAGAGGAUAGUGUUGAACUUCUAAAGACACACUGACAGUACAGUAUCAUGGAGAUGGUGUUAGAGAAGCCUCUAAAGACACACUGACAGUACAGUAUCAUGGAGAUGGUGUUA
Molecule: long non-coding RNA, 7244 nt
Organism: Oncorhynchus tshawytscha (Chinook salmon)
Lineage: Eukaryota; Metazoa; Chordata; Actinopteri; Salmoniformes; Salmonidae
Source: Ensembl